Molecule: ribosomal RNA, 504 nt
Filed under: Litchfieldella qijiaojingensis
Lineage: Bacteria; Pseudomonadati; Pseudomonadota; Gammaproteobacteria; Oceanospirillales; Halomonadaceae
Description: bacterial SSU rRNA
Rfam family: Bacterial small subunit ribosomal RNA
Source: RNAcentral
GGUGGCGAGCGGCGGACGGGUGAGUAAUGCAUAGGAAUCUGCCCGGUAGUGGGGGAUAACCUGGGGAAACUCAGGCUAAUACCGCAUACGCCCCAAGGGGGAAAGCGGGGGACCUUCGGGCCUCGCGCUAUCGGAUGAGCCUAUGUCGGAUUAGCUGGUUGGUGAGGUAACGGCUCACCAAGGCGACGAUCCGUAGCUGGUCUGAGAGGAUGAUCAGCCACACUGGGACUGAGACACGGCCCAGACUCCUACGGGAGGCAGCAGUGGGGAAUAUUGGACAAUGGGGGCAACCCUGAUCCAGCCAUGCCGCGUGUGUGAAGAAGGCCUUCGGGUUGUAAAGCACUUUCAGCGAGGAAGAAGGCUUUCGGGCGAAUACCCCGGAAGAAGGACAUCACUCGCAGAAGAAGCACCGGCUAACUCCGUGCCAGCAGCCGCGGUAAUACGGAGGGUGCGAGCGUUAAUCGGAAUUACUGGGCGUAAAGCGCGCGUAGGCGGCUCGAUAAG